Phascolarctos cinereus (koala) is the source of this 313-nucleotide non-coding RNA. NCBI's taxonomy places the organism in Eukaryota, Metazoa, Chordata, Mammalia, Diprotodontia, Phascolarctidae. The record is from RefSeq and is a predicted model, not a curated record.
GGCCACAGGAGAGCAGCUUGAUAUACCCCUUCUGUUGAGAAGAUGGGUGGAGAAAUGAAGAGAAUCCCAGAGCUCUGACCCAUGGCCUGGAACAAACAAACAAACAAAAAGAAUGGAGUUGGAAUAGGAAGAACCUCAGGGAUGGGGUAGAACAUGGUGGUUCAGCUGGCUCCUUCUGUCAUCUGUGGGUCCAGGUCGACCUUCCUCUAUGAUUUCUCGGAGCUUAUUUACAGUGGUCUGUGAUCAUGUCUGCAAGUCUGUUUAGUGUCCCAGGAUGGAAUUUAUCUGUGCCUGGAGAUUGGUGCUUCCUUCA